UGCGUAGGCGGUGUAGCAAGUCGGGUGUGAAAUCCCUCAGCUCAACUGAGGAAUUGCGCCCGAAACUGCUGCGCUUGAGGAAUACAGAGGUGUGCGGAACUUAGGGUGGAGCGGUGAAAUGCGUUGAUAUCCUAAGGAACACCGGUGGCGAAAGCGGCACACUGGGUAUUUUCUGACGCUCAUGCACGAAAGCUAGGGUAGCGAACG
This 207-nucleotide ribosomal RNA is filed under the name uncultured bacterium. Its description in RNAcentral is "partial 16S ribosomal RNA". It matches the Rfam family "Bacterial small subunit ribosomal RNA", at positions 568 to 774 of the family's 1533-position model. The record is from RNAcentral.